GUCGGCACGAUGGCAGUGUUGUGAGCUUUUACCGGUGGGAGCUUUCGGAGAGGGAGAAUCGAUCCCUCGAUGUCUAUGUCGAUGCAUGCUUCGGUAAGUAGAUCUCACAUUACCUUUCUUGCGUGAUAAGCAUGAUGUCUCCGAUCCAUCAUAGCUGAAUCGACAACAGAUGUCACUCAUGUCGUUUCUUACAGCCAAGAACUGUUCUUCCGGUGACGAUGAUGACGCUGUCGUCGUUGGGUGGCUCUUCGGUAUCUUGCAGUCCUCUUCACGAAGAAGCUUCACUGUAGCUGAAGAUUAAUCUUGCCCGAUCACAACCUGUAAACGCCAUGAAAGAAUAGACAGAGAGUUCCAAGGCAAGUAUACAGAUAAUUUGCUUUAUGGAAUGAUGGAAAGAUGGAAUGUGAGGAGGUGACUGCCAACGAAAAGUCAGUCUUAGCAUAGAAGCAAUCACCAAACAAGAAUUGUUCUCGGGCAUCGAGGAGAAGACACGCAUCGCCAGAUUAGGUAGGCAAGAAAUACUGGUUUUGGCAAACCAAUCGAAUGCAAAAUUCGUGACCGGGAAUUGAAGUUGAUAGCUCAGAGUACUUAAUUGGCAUGCAUUUGGUUGAGACAUAUGUAAUUAUCAACCACAAAGCUUCAAUAUAAUAUCUCAUGUUUUGAUGCUUCCAACUCUUAAAAGAAACGAUUCUCUUUAUCUCAAGAGGAGAAUCCAAGUCAUUGUCUCAAACGCUGUGGGAACAAAUGCUUUGUUAUUUUGAUCACAUAAGGCUUUACCUACCUAAAUGUUGAUGUUAGCUAUGAAUGCCUUGAUAAACCCUUAAUAACCUUACUAUAAUCCGGAGAUUUUAGGAAGCA
This 858-nucleotide long non-coding RNA is filed under the name Musa acuminata (dwarf banana). Its description in RNAcentral is "long non-coding RNA (MACU_LNC006149)". The record is from RNAcentral. Lineage: Eukaryota; Viridiplantae; Streptophyta; Magnoliopsida; Zingiberales; Musaceae.